CUGGUAAACCAUGGGGGGGGCAGGGAGGGGCACCCGACCGGGGGUGGGGCACCUGACCUCAGCAGCUGCUGAUUUCCUUCACUCCUGGGGGUAGAAGGGAAGCUCGCUCGCCAAGGCAACUAGUGGCCUAGGAAACAUUAAGAACACACGCGAUCCUGACUGCCGGCUGGCCAGGGCCUUUGCAAUCAUCAGUGACCAAAACCCCCAGUGUGUUUCUGAGAUCAUUUGCCUGUUUCUUGAUCCUCUAACUUCCCUGUGAGCCCACGUGCCCUUCUGACAUCAUUCCCACUCUCUGUCUGCACUGGGCCUCACCUGUGGAACUCAACACUCUUGUUUAACAUUCACUAAACCAAUGCAAAAUUCAAACUAUGCACCUUUGUCACUUUAGGAAGAGAAAAACAGUGAGGUGGAAGAGGCAGAGAAAGGAGCAAGAGGAGCAGCAGAAGGAAGAGAAUAAUCCAGAGAAGGACAUGGUCUCUCCAGACGUCAUACUGCUGGUCUGUUAAAGGAGGAUGCAGCACCAAUAUGGCUGACACGCAGUAUGACAUUGGUUUCAGGUAUACAGCAUAGUGAUUCCACUUCUGUGUUACGCUGUGCUCGCCACAAGUGCAGCUGUGAUCCGUGCAGGUGAUGCUAUUGGAAUCUCAGUCACUGUAUUCCCUGAGCUGGGCCUUUCAUCCCCAUGAUGCCUUUCAUUCCAUAAGAGGAACUGGAAUCGGGCGCCUGGGUGGCUCAGUGGGUUAAGCCGCUGCCUUCGGCUCAGGUCAUGAUCUCAGGGUCCUGGGAUCGAGUCCCACAUCGGGCUCUCUGCUCAGCGGGGAGCCUGCUUCUUCCUCUCACUCUCUGCCUGCCUCUCUGCCUACCUGUGAUCUCUCUCUGUCAAAUAAAUAAAUAAAACUUUUUUUAUUCUA
This is a long non-coding RNA of Mustela lutreola (European mink), 911 nucleotides long. RefSeq lists it as uncharacterized. Lineage: Eukaryota; Metazoa; Chordata; Mammalia; Carnivora; Mustelidae. The transcript has 2 exons. The record is from RefSeq and is a predicted model, not a curated record.